UUUAAUUUUUCUGCUGCAGGAAAGAAUGACUCUGCUGAAGCUCCUAGCUGAGAAAAAUAAAAUAAUUGAAUAGACUAAAGCUGAGAUGCAGAUGUUAAGAGGCAAUGUUCAAAAACUACAACUACAAAAUUGGAAUCUUGCUCAAUCAAACACACACAUGCUAGGGGAGCUUAAUUUAGGAAGGGAAAGG
This is a non-coding RNA of Arachis ipaensis, 190 nucleotides long. Lineage: Eukaryota; Viridiplantae; Streptophyta; Magnoliopsida; Fabales; Fabaceae. The record is from RefSeq and is a predicted model, not a curated record.